AACCGAGCGAAUCAAAUGACACAUCACGCUGGUUCAAAAGGAUUAGCUCAAAGACGUCAUGAAUUGGUAAUUUAUUUAUAAUUUAUAUCUAAUUUUUUUAUAUAUUAAUGAAUUAUGUGAAUAUAGAUGCAACAAGGAAGGAGUGAAGUCGAAACUUGGUCAAAGACUUUACAAAUGACAUAUAAGGGAAGCGAUAAAGUUGUAAGUCUUUUUUUAAAAUUAUUUAUAUUUUAUAAUUUCUAUUAUCAUUGUUUGAUUUUGUUAUUCUUUCAGCUUGAAGCCACAAAAUUUAUCAAAAAUCAAGAGGCAAAAUCGUGGGCUGAAUCUGAAACAAUGACUCCAUUUGUAAAUUCCAUUAAUUAUUUUAAAUAUAUUUCGCAUUUCUUAUUUAUUUAUUUUUUUAUAAUGCAGCAAUUUAUCGAAGCGACGGUCAACAAGACUUUCGGAAAAAAUAAG
Molecule: long non-coding RNA, 456 nt
Filed under: Zostera marina
Lineage: Eukaryota; Viridiplantae; Streptophyta; Magnoliopsida; Alismatales; Zosteraceae
Description: long non-coding RNA (ZMAR_LNC000165)
Source: RNAcentral